Molecule: transfer RNA, 73 nt
Filed under: Brassica napus (rape)
Lineage: Eukaryota; Viridiplantae; Streptophyta; Magnoliopsida; Brassicales; Brassicaceae
Also listed under: 1 other name
Description: tRNA-Arg (TCT) (tRNA-Arg-TCT-6-1)
Rfam family: tRNA
About the family: Transfer RNA (tRNA) molecules are approximately 80 nucleotides in length.
Source: RNAcentral
GCGCCCGUGGCCUAAUGGAUAAGGCGUUUGACUUCUAAUCAAACGAUUGUGUGUUCGAGUCCCACCGGGCGUG